This 468-nucleotide ribosomal RNA is filed under the name uncultured bacterium. RNAcentral describes it as "partial 16S ribosomal RNA". It matches the Rfam family "Bacterial small subunit ribosomal RNA", at positions 28 to 507 of the family's 1533-position model. The record is from RNAcentral.
GACGAACGCUGGCGGCGUGCUUAACACAUGCAAGUCGAACGGAAAGGCCCUGCUUUUGUGGGGUGCUCGAGUGGCGAACGGGUGAGUAACACGUGAGUAACCUGCCCUUGACUUUGGGAUAACUUCAGGAAACUGGGGCUAAUACCGGAUAGGAGCUCCUGCUGCAUGGUGGGGGUUGGAAAGUUUCGGCGGUUGGGGAUGGACUCGCGGCUUAUCAGCUUGUUGGUGGGGUAGUGGCUUACCAAGGCUUUGACGGGUAGCCCGCAUGGGAGGGUGACCGGGCACAUUGGGACUGAGAGACGGCGCAGUCGCCUACGGGAGGCAGCAGGGGGGAAUAUUGCACAGUGGGCCGGAGCCUGAUGCAGCGACGCCGCGUGCGGGAUGACGGCCUUCUGGUUGUAAACCGCUUUCGCCUGUGUCGAAGCGUGAGUGACGGUAAUGGGUAAAGAAGCACCGGCUAACUACGUG